ACGCUCGACACCUACGGUAGGCAGCAGUUGGGAAUAUUGGACAAUGGAGGAAACUCUGAUCCAGUGACGCCGCGUGAAGGAAGAAGGUCUUCGGAUUGUAAACUUAUUUUGUCAGGGAAGAAAAAUGACUGUACCUGAAGAAAAAGCACCGGCUAACUACGUGCCAACAGCCGCGGUAAUCUGAGCGGGCUGGCAAGGC
This 199-nucleotide ribosomal RNA is filed under the name uncultured bacterium. RNAcentral's name for it is "partial 16S ribosomal RNA". It matches the Rfam family "Bacterial small subunit ribosomal RNA", at positions 326 to 539 of the family's 1533-position model. The record is from RNAcentral.